UCUCACGGCGAGCCUGAUGCC
RNAcentral lists this microRNA (21 nucleotides) under Oryctolagus cuniculus (rabbit). RNAcentral describes it as "ocu-miR-12090-3p". Lineage: Eukaryota; Metazoa; Chordata; Mammalia; Lagomorpha; Leporidae. The record is from miRBase by way of RNAcentral.